Molecule: ribosomal RNA, 481 nt
Filed under: uncultured bacterium
Lineage: Bacteria
Description: partial 16S ribosomal RNA
Rfam family: Bacterial small subunit ribosomal RNA
Source: RNAcentral
GACGAACGUUGGCGGCGUGCUUAAUACAUGCAAGUCAACUGAAGCAGUGGUAGCAAUAUCGCUGUGGAGGUGGCGCACGGGUGAGUAACACGUAGGUAAUCUGCCUUCAGGUCUGGCAUAACUCCGGGAAACCGGGGCUAAUAGCAGAUGAUGCAGCGGCUCGACAUCGAGACAGUUGUUAAAGCUAUGGCGCCUGAAGAUGAGCCUGCGUCUGAUUAGCUAGUUGGCGGGGUAACGGCCCACCAAGGCAACGAUCAGUAGCUGGUCUGAGAGGAUGAUCAGCCACACUGGAACUGAGACACGGUCCAGACUCCUACGGGAGGCAGCAGUAAGGAAUAUUGCUCAAUGGGAGAAAUCCUGAAGCAGCAACGCCGCGGGAGGGACGAAGGGCCUUUGCUUGUAAACCUCUGUAGUGAGAGAAAAAAAUCCCAAUCUUUGGGACAUGAUGGUAUCUCAAAAGUAAGCCCCGGCUAACUACGUG